This 1816-nucleotide long non-coding RNA is filed under the name Hordeum vulgare. RNAcentral describes it as "long non-coding RNA (HVUL_LNC002321)". The record is from RNAcentral. Lineage: Eukaryota; Viridiplantae; Streptophyta; Magnoliopsida; Poales; Poaceae.
CUGAUUAGAGUUGGUCUGAGGUGUAUUCGAUGUGCCCCCACUCGUGCGAAUUGCCUGCCCCCACUCAGCCUAGUAUCUCUUUAUUUUUAAAAGCCCAACUCCAUAGGAAAAACCCGAUAUAUAUAAGAAAAAGAAUUGCUACGGGCCUCAGCGUAAGUCAGAUGCCUCCUUGUAGGUUACGCGUUGCCUAGCUCAAUCCAAUGGCCAGAUUUCAUGUACACGCGCACAUCGUCCACUCAAAUAAAAACCACACACGCAGCCACGCACGAAGUCAUCGCCUCGAGCCCUCGACCUCGCCUCUCACGCCGCCGCGGUCCUGCGGAGUCAUCGGGUCACCGGCUAAUUACGGCAAAUCGCUGACUCACCGUCGCCGGCCCCUUACACCAUCAGACUUGCACUACUUCAUCGGAGAACAGAGAUCUUAAUUCCACAAUUCCCUAGUUCUAAAUGACUUCAAGGUAUGCCGUCAAAUUCUUUAAUUUCAAAUCAACUUAUAUGUAUAGUUUGUCAAUUUGGAUGAGUAGGUCAGUUUAAAUAUAUUUGUGUAACAUACUCCCCUUUUCCUAAAUAUAAGUCCUUUUAGAGCUGAAGAUUCUUAUAUGAAGGAACAAAAAAGGGUAAUCAGUCUGAUUGUAGGUAAAGAGUUUACCCGGCUGACUCAGUUCUAGCAUAAUGAUGUAUAUAUACAUACUUUAUACUAUAGAUUCACUCAUUUUAUUUCAUAUGUAGUCUUAUAAUAAAAUAUCAAAUAAAAUCAACAACUUUCAAGAUGCCCGAACUUGUUGAUUUGUACAAGCUUCCUAGGGAUCAAUCUAAAAGACUAGAAUUCCUACCAAAAGUGAUAGUUAAACCUUUUUAUACAGUCAAAGAUCAUCGUGGGAUAAAUAAAAAGUAAUGCGCUAAAGUGUUUCUUUUUCUUUUUCAAAGUACCAGCUUUCUUCAAUGUUUCCAUUCUUUCUCAAUUUGAUAAUGUAUUUUCUUACACGUUGUAGGUUGAUUGGUAGAACAAUGUGUCAUAUUUGCAACUUCGAAACAAGAUAUCACCAUAUGUAAUUCAUUUAAUCUCAAAUGGUUAGUCUUCUUUCAGUUUUUGAUGAAUUUGGUUAAUGCAUGAAAAAUGAGGCGUGCAAAAAGGAGGUGAUUAUGCCCGUGUUUUGUUUACAUUAAUGCUUUUGCCUUGCUGGUUCAUGAAUAUGGACAUACAUUUUUUUGCCCCUCUCAAUUUUUUUCCUGGGUCCGCAACAUGGGUUGACAGAAGGAAACACAAACUUAUUAGGUAUACAACUGCAGAGACCAACAAGAAGAUGCAUACAAGAACUUGCGAAACACAGGCAUUUAGUGGUUUAAGACAUGUGCAGAACACACGAAAAACAGAGACAUUCGUUGAAUUACCUCACUAUGUAUCUUUGCAAUAUGGCAAGCAAGCCCCAUCUUUGAAAAGAAUCUUUUAGUGUUGAGAAACUAAUGGUUGCUGAGGAGGCCUGCAUAAAGGAAUCCAUGGGUCAUUAUUAAGCUACGGCGUAUUAAGGAUAUCUGUAAACAAUCUGAGAAAGAUGCGUCACCGGGGAUCAGCAAGUAAACCAGCGUAUUUGGCAGAUAAUACAUGUCAUUUCUAAAAAAUUAAGCACAUUUCGGUGUCAUGUUUUUGCCCAAGUUGAUUUGUAAUUCCAAACGUGCACUUCUGUAUGUUGCUUCCUUCAUAAAGUGCCCGUUCACAGCAACAUAAAAGAAUGUAUGCUUUGACUAACAGUUCAUUCAACAUUGCAAGGCAAAAUUUUGGCAAGGUUCGGUUCCUCGCCAACUAUCACUUCACUGG